This 878-nucleotide long non-coding RNA is filed under the name Manacus vitellinus (golden-collared manakin). RNAcentral's name for it is "lncRNA (ENSMVIG00005005531.1)". The record is from RNAcentral. Lineage: Eukaryota; Metazoa; Chordata; Aves; Passeriformes; Pipridae.
AUGCUUUGAGACUUUGAGCUGAAACUGAGAUAACACAAUGAGUUCGUCAUAGUGAUAAUCUUCAAGAACAGGAUUUAUCAUUUUAACCCAAGGAAACUAGAAUGGACAAAUAAACAAACAAAAUCCCUGAUAUUUAAGGGUUUGCACGAGAGUAUCACGUUGGUUUUAGAUUUUGACAAGACUUCUGCUUUUGAUGCUUAUCCUUACCAGAGAGUGAGAAGACCUUUUUACCGUCACAGCUCUUUUCAAAAGACAUGGGAAAGCAUCUGGAAAGCCAGAUUUUAACAGUGGGCAAGUUAUAAAUAGUAACAUACAGAAUCACACUCCGAACGGAAAUUAUUUGAUUUUUUUCAUUACAACAUUAUAUUACGUUGACUCUGGUUUCCGUGUACUAGAAGCAUGUAUUAUAUCCUUAUCAUAUCCUUAGGUUCCUAGACACAGAGAUCAAUUAACAUAUGUCAAGGGUAAUUUUUACAGUCUAACUGCACCUGGCUAACUAAUAGCACCUACAGAUAUGGACAGAACAAAGUACCAGAAUUUAUGUAUCUUAAAGGAAUUAUUUCCUGUCAGAUGAUGAAGAUGAAAUAAUGGAAAGUAUUCGCUUUUUGUCCAGUCUGUUGGGUUUGAUAUUUUUAUAACUCUUAACCCAGACGAAAUCUUCAACCAUUUUGAAUGUGAAAAAAAAAAUAGAAUUUCUGUCUUUUAUAAGGUACACAUUCAUUAAAAAGGAAACUAAGAAACCAUCUUUAGAGUAAUUCCUUCUAUAAGAAAGAGUCAACACUCCCAACUUGUUCCCUCCACCACACCAAGCUACAGCUUAAAGACACAAUUCUAUAAUUAAAGUGAAAAUAAAUUUUACUUUGUCUUAAUUGAUGCCA